AUCCCCUCAGGAUCAUACCUGGAGAGUUUCCAGUCCUCUACCAGUCUCGGCUACGGGAGGGAGAGUCAAGCAGAGGCCAGUCCAUUUCAUUCCUAGCUUGGGCAGUGGCUAGCGAGUGGAAGACAAUCUGCUAUAAGU
This is a small nucleolar RNA of Ornithorhynchus anatinus (platypus), 138 nucleotides long. The record is from RefSeq and is a predicted model, not a curated record. Lineage: Eukaryota; Metazoa; Chordata; Mammalia; Monotremata; Ornithorhynchidae.